Molecule: long non-coding RNA, 3074 nt
Organism: Triticum aestivum (bread wheat)
Lineage: Eukaryota; Viridiplantae; Streptophyta; Magnoliopsida; Poales; Poaceae
Exons: 2
Source: RefSeq, a predicted model, not a curated record
AAGGGCGCGCAGUGCCAAAUUUUUUGGCUAAAUUAGGUCUCCUUCCCCCGUGCCUCAAUCCUUCGCCGCCGCCAGAAAAAAUCCCCCCUCUCUCUCCCCAAUCUUCCUCUCCCACAUCGCCAUGGCCCGCCGCGCGCCACCACCCGGCCGUGCCCCUACCGGCCCUGCUCCGCCGCGCCCCUACCAUCCCUUAUCCGUCGCAUUGCCUCUUCCUCCCCCUUCUCUACCACCACAUCGGUGGCCCAAUCGGACCAUCUGGCGGUGGGCACGAUGUCCUCACGCGGAUCUGACUGCCGCCACCAUCGUCGCCUCCACCUCAAGCUGCUCCUCGAUGCGGUUGUCCCCGACGAGCACCACCCCCACCCGACUGUCCCCGACGAGCUACUCCCCAACGGCCACAUCCUCUCCUGCACUACGAGCACUACGGCGAGGAGGACGACAUCCACUUACCCGCUAGAUCAAGAUUGCGUCCACCACCUCGACUUCACCCCAAAGGUUCUCUCCCUGCCUCUUGCUCUCUGGUUUAGGUAGUUGUAUAUGCUCUGAUCUUUUCGGUGUUCAGAUCUCGCAAGUGAUGCUCAUCUCUGUGAUUUGCUUGUUAAGAAAUUAUACUACUUCUUUCGGCAAGCUUGCCGUUGUUGCAGAAUAUCAGUUUGCCCUUUGCAAGGUCCGCUCCUGCAGGUCUACUAGGUAAAUCUUUUUAGUAGUACAAGUCUUUCGAUUUAGUUUUUUCAGCUUGAACAUGAUGUCCAGAACCAGAACUUAAAAGUAGAACUUUUACAUACAAGAUCUAGUAGGUAAAUCUUUUAAGUCCAAGUUCAGAUUUAAAGACAGAUAUAUGGUAGCUAUGAUGCAGGUUGGCCAUGCUAGUACUCUCCUGCACUAGCAUUUUGUUAACUUAAAACAUAUUUCCUGACUGAAUGUUUUUCUGAUUUAAAGGUACCAAGGAAUGUUUAAAUACUACAUUGGUGUUUUCUAGCUUGGAGAAGCAACAUCAACUUGGGAUGCAGAUUCACCAGUAUAUGUGCAUGCAUCUCAUAGGGGGAGAGAUCUUGCACGGAUGUAAAACCAUUUUUCUUCUGUUAUAGAUUCUAGAGUGAUGCUCUGCUUAAAUUCCUAUCCAUGCAUAAAGUCAACAUCCAAUGAAAUAUGAGCAAAUUAUUUUAUCUCUGUUAUUGUAAUUGGGAGCUAUGACAACCAUAUAAAUGGAUUUAGUAUAUUUUGAUUGCAUAGUUUCUUUUUGCUAUUUUGAAAUAUGAAUGUGUAUCUUUAAUCAUGACUGUUUAUGCAUUUUUAAGCAUGACUAGAACUGUGCUGAAGAUGUGUGCUUAACCAUGUAGUUUUUUUCUGCAGCUAAAAUUCAGCUGAAGCUUUACAAACUAGCUGGACACUAAUUCAUAGAGCUAUCCUUUCCUUUGCUUUGUUUUUCCUGUAGAAUAGGUUAAGCAUAAUCUGAGUGGUGUAUACCCAACACAUUUCUUAAUGGACAUGCAUGCAAUUAUAAUCUAAUUGGGACACGACUAACAAGCUGAUUUACAUGAGCAUGCUCAUGUAUGUUUUCACAACCUGGCCCUUGUCUUGCAGAUCCUCGAAACGAGCCAAGAACCAUUAAAUGUUUUCACAACCUGGCCCUUGUCAUGUAUGUUUUACAGAUCCUCAAAACAAGCUUAGACUUUGUUUGUUAUGCAAGAUCUCUUCAUGUGUCAUAAUGAUACAAACACGAGGUACAUAAUUUAGGCAUUUACAAUUAUAAUUAAGUGAUAAUUUGGCAGAACAACAUGGUGUGGUGUUUAUUCGAGAAGGAUGCACUAUUUUGUCAAGUGUGGUGUUUAUUCGAGAAGGCAACAAAGAGGUAUGGCAGGACUGCUUUGUUGCACAUGUUCGAAAGUUGUGUCUUACCUGCUUUAAAUAUAGUAGUUGAGACUUCUGGGGGCAUGCCGUUUCAUCUCGAGCUUUCUUAACUAAUAGAGAAAUGAAAUAACUUAUCAAAGCCUUUUUGUACGGUUUUUCUUUUCACUUCCAAAACAUUUUCGCAAAUUGGAACUUCAUAGCCAGUUUCCAAAUUCAAAGAAAUCACCUACCAUGGCCUUGUUCCUUUUCUUAAACUUCUCAUUCUGCAUCUUAAACAGCCAAACUCCCAGCCAUUUCAAUGUCAAGCUCGCUGAGCAACUUAAAAUCACAAUUCAUAGCAAAUAUAUGAACAACUAACUAUGCUUUAUAUUUUUGAUAGGUGUUCUAGAACUAGAAGCAUUUCCUUAGUUCAAACCUUGUAUCACGAAUUUACAUGCUACCCUCUUUUGAUGUACUUCAACAAGAAAAAAAGGGCAACCUGGUGCAUGUAGCUCCCGCUUGCGCAGGGUCCAGGGAAGGGUCCGACCACUUUGGGUCUAUAGUACGCAGCCUUUCCCUACAUUUCUGUAAGAGGCUGUUUCCAGGACUUGAACCCAUGACCUCAUGGUCACAAGGCAGCAGCUUUACCACUGCGCCAAGGCUCCCCUUCGAUGUACUUCAACAAGCUUAUCAACAAAUAUAUACCAGAUGCUACAUUGGCAUGUUAUUAUUUUGUUAGUGUAGUCACAUGAACUUCAUAUGAUUUAGCUGCAUUGUCAUAUAUUUAUUCACAAGAUCUGCUCGUCUAUAUCUGUCAAGACUGGAAACCUUGAGACGGUGAUCAAACAUUUGGUUGAAGGAAUCAGCAAACAGAUGUUUUCGAGCAUCAUGUUGUGAGCUCUGAUGUUCCUCUCAAGACUUGGAUCGGCAACCUGAUGCAAGUGCUCAAGGGAUAUCUGGAGCAUGUACUUCUCAAGGCGAUGUGAUGCAUGUGUAGUUAAUUACCAUGUUGAUUGGAAGUGUUUCGAUCUAGCAACAGUAGCUGAUAUGUGGCCUUGUCUAUAGCAGGUUGUAGAUUAAACUUGCAGUGUAUAGACCAUUUUGCAACUUAAGCUAGCUUUUUUGGAUCGAUGGGUGGUAUGAAUAUGUUGUAUGAUGAUGAAUAUUCGGUCAUCUAUGAAUUAUUUGAAUUAUGGCUGAUAUAUAUAUAUCCAAAUUUGGUGUAUUGUUGCUUUGGUUGUGAC